CCUAGUCGAAACACACAAUUAAUAUGUAAAAAGAAACAUAAGGUCACGUACGCGCAUGACCCAUGCACGGACGUAAAAUAUACGAAAUGCAUUUUCGAUUUCUUAAUAAGGUUCUAUAGUCUGAUUAUUAUCCAGAUAAUCACCGGAUGCUAUCUAGUGGUGUCCCAAGUACGUUUUUCCGACAACCGAUUUACACCAAAAUCUGGACUUAACAUCUCACUUCUCUACCAAACUUUUGGCUGGAACCUAAAAAUUAUGGCUGGCAUCUUCUCCAACCUCACUCAGUUCUUCAUGCACAAACAACAUAAGAACAAUUACAAAG
Molecule: long non-coding RNA, 322 nt
Organism: Aphis gossypii (cotton aphid)
Lineage: Eukaryota; Metazoa; Arthropoda; Insecta; Hemiptera; Aphididae
Exons: 3
Source: RefSeq, a predicted model, not a curated record